This 884-nucleotide ribosomal RNA is filed under the name Chryseobacterium sp. Its description in RNAcentral is "bacterial SSU rRNA". It matches the Rfam family "Bacterial small subunit ribosomal RNA", at positions 504 to 1395 of the family's 1533-position model. The record is from RNAcentral. Lineage: Bacteria; Pseudomonadati; Bacteroidota; Flavobacteriia; Flavobacteriales; Weeksellaceae.
CGUGCCAGCAGCCGCGGUAAUACGGAGGGUGCAAGCGUUAUCCGGAUUUAUUGGGUUUAAAGGGUCCGUAGGCUGAUUUGUAAGUCAGUGGUGAAAUCUCACAGCUCAACUGUGAAACUGCCAUUGAUACUGCAAGUCUUGAGUGUUGUUGAAGUAGCUGGAAUAAGUAGUGUAGCGGUGAAAUGCAUAGAUAUUACUUAGAACACCAAUUGCGAAGGCAGGUUACUAAGCAACAACUGACGCUGAUGGACGAAAGCGUGGGGAGCGAACAGGAUUAGAUACCCUGGUAGUCCACGCCGUAAACGAUGCUAACUCGUUUUUGGGUUUUCGGAUUCAGAGACUAAGCGAAAGUGAUAAGUUAGCCACCUGGGGAGUACGUUCGCAAGAAUGAAACUCAAAGGAAUUGACGGGGGCCCGCACAAGCGGUGGAUUAUGUGGUUUAAUUCGAUGAUACGCGAGGAACCUUACCAAGGCUUAAAUGGGAAUUGACAGGUUUAGAAAUAGACUUUUCUUCGGACAAUUUUCAAGGUGCUGCAUGGUUGUCGUCAGCUCGUGCCGUGAGGUGUUAGGUUAAGUCCUGCAACGAGCGCAACCCCUGUCACUAGUUGCCAUCAUUCAGUUGGGGACUCUAGUGAGACUGCCUACGCAAGUAGAGAGGAAGGUGGGGAUGACGUCAAAUCAUCACGGCCCUUACGCCUUGGGCCACACACGUAAUACAAUGGCCAGUACAGAGGGCAGCUACACAGCGAUGUGAUGCAAAUCUCGAAAGCUGGUCUCAGUUCGGAUUGGAGUCUGCAACUCGACUCUAUGAAGCUGGAAUCGCUAGUAAUCGCGCAUCAGCCAUGGCGCGGUGAAUACGUUCCCGGGCCUUGUACACACCGCCC